CCCUGUAGCGCAAUGGAUAGCGCAUUGAACAUCGAAUCUAAAGGUCAUGGGUUCGAAUCCAAUCUGGAAGG
Non-coding RNA from Trichonephila inaurata madagascariensis, 71 nucleotides. Lineage: Eukaryota; Metazoa; Arthropoda; Arachnida; Araneae; Nephilidae. The record is from the annotation of a GenBank genome assembly.